AUGAUUUGUAAGGUCCAUAAACGUUCUAUAUAGUGGAGAGAAUAUAAAUAGAUAAGUUUCAAUUAAAUGUUAAUGAUUAGAAGUAGAACAAGAUGGCGAAAUUCGAAACAAAUAUGCUGAACCUAUUUCUCCUGAUUCUUGCAAUUGCUCAUAUGAGUUUAGCUUCCAUUUGCAUUCCUGAUUGCACUGAUGCUGAAUGUAGACAAAAUACUUGCCUUGAAGGCACAAGACCAGUAUUUGUAAGGUGUGAUUGUUGCGAAACGUGUGAAAGAGUUUUAAAAAAAGGAGAAACCUGUACGAUACGAGCUGAACCUUUGCUUCAACCUGAAAUAGGCUCAGGAGAUCGAGUUUCAAUCAGUUAUCCCCGUUGUGGCUUCGGUCUUCGCUGCGAUUCUCAAGUACGAACAUGUGUUUAAGACUUCCACUGUACUAAAAAUGCUAUUUAUUUAGGGUAAAGAAAUAAAAUAUUAUGAAGUUUGAAA
Long non-coding RNA from Parasteatoda tepidariorum (common house spider), 482 nucleotides. Lineage: Eukaryota; Metazoa; Arthropoda; Arachnida; Araneae; Theridiidae. The record is from RefSeq and is a predicted model, not a curated record.